This is a non-coding RNA of Cladorrhinum samala, 103 nucleotides long. The record is from the annotation of a GenBank genome assembly. NCBI's taxonomy places the organism in Eukaryota, Fungi, Ascomycota, Sordariomycetes, Sordariales, Podosporaceae.
GCGGGUUUAGCUCAGUUGGGAGAGCGUCAGACUGAAGUUCCACUUUGGUUCGAACCUUAUCAAGGUCAUCUGAAGGUCGUGUGUUCGAUCCACACAAACCGCA